This 57-nucleotide transfer RNA is filed under the name Dipodomys ordii (Ord's kangaroo rat). It matches the Rfam family "tRNA", at positions 8 to 63 of the family's 71-position model. Rfam says of the family: Transfer RNA (tRNA) molecules are approximately 80 nucleotides in length. Lineage: Eukaryota; Metazoa; Chordata; Mammalia; Rodentia; Heteromyidae. The record is from Rfam by way of RNAcentral.
UGGCUCAGUGGUAGAGUACUUGCCUUGCAUGCAUGAGGCCUUGGGUUCGAUUCCUCA